GGCGGCGUGCCUAAUACAUGCAAGUGGGACGCAAGGAAACACACUGUGCUUGCACACCGUGUUUUCUUGAGUCGCGAACGGGUGAGUAACGCGUAGGUAACCUGCCUUUAGCGGGGGAUAACUAUUGGAAACGAUAGCUAAUACCGCAUAAUAUUAAUUAUUGCUGAUAAUUGAUUGAAAGAUGCAAGCGCAUCACUAGUAGAUGGACCUGCGUUGUAUUAGCUAGUUGGUAAGGUAAGAGCUUACCAAGGCGACGAUACAUAGCCGACCUGAGAGGGUGAUCGGCCACACUGGGACUGAGACACGGCCCAGACUCCUACGGGAGGCAGCAGUAGGGAAUCUUCGGCAAUGGACGAAAGUCUGACCGAGCAACGCCGCGUGAGUGAAGAAGGUUUUCGGAUCGUAAAGCUCUGUUGUAAGUCAAGAACGUGUGUGAGAGUGGAAAGUUCACACAGUGACGGAGCUACCAGAAA
Molecule: ribosomal RNA, 473 nt
Filed under: Streptococcus mutans
Lineage: Bacteria; Bacillati; Bacillota; Bacilli; Lactobacillales; Streptococcaceae
Description: bacterial SSU rRNA
Rfam family: Bacterial small subunit ribosomal RNA
Source: RNAcentral